RNAcentral lists this ribosomal RNA (497 nucleotides) under uncultured bacterium. Its description in RNAcentral is "partial 16S ribosomal RNA". It matches the Rfam family "Bacterial small subunit ribosomal RNA", at positions 28 to 507 of the family's 1533-position model. The record is from RNAcentral.
GAUGAACGCUGGCGGCGUGCCUAAUACAUGCCAGUCGAGCGAACAGACGAGGAGCUUGCUCCUCUGACGUUAGCGGCGGACGGGUGAGUAACACGUGGAUAACCUACCUAUAAGACUGGGAUAACUUCGGGAAACCGGAGCUAAUACCGGAUAAUAUAUUGAACCGCAUGGUUCAAUAGUGAAAGACGGUUUUGCUGUCACUUAUAGAUGGAUCCGCGCCGCAUUAGCUAGUUGGUAAGGUAACGGCUUACCAAGGCAACGAGGCGUAGCCGACCUGAGAGGGUGAUCGGCCACACUGGAACUGAGACACGGUCCAGACUCCUACGGGAGGCAGCAGUAGGGAAUCUUCCGCAAUGGGCGGAAGCCUGACGGAGCAACGCCGCGUGAGUGAUGAAGGUCUUCGGAUCGUAAAACUCUGUUAUUAGGGAAGAACAAAUGUGUAAGUAACUAUGCACGUCUUGACGGUACCUAAUCAGAAAGCCACGGCUAACUACGUG